This 431-nucleotide ribosomal RNA is filed under the name uncultured bacterium. RNAcentral's name for it is "partial 16S ribosomal RNA". It matches the Rfam family "Bacterial small subunit ribosomal RNA", at positions 29 to 507 of the family's 1533-position model. The record is from RNAcentral.
AACGAACGCUGGCGGCAGGCCUAACACAUGCAAGUCGAGCGCCCCGCAAGGGGAGCGGCGGACGGGUGAGUAACGCGUGGGAAUAUGCCCUUUGCUACGGAAUAGUCUCGGGAAACUGGGGGUAAUACCGUAUACGCCCUUUGGGGGAAAGAUUUAUCGGCGAAGGAUUAGCCCGCGUUGGAUUAGGUAGUUGGUGGGGUAAUGGCCUACCAAGCCGACGAUCCAUAGCUGGUUUGAGAGGAUGAUCAGUCACACUGGGACUGAGACACGGCCCAGACUCCGACGGGAAGCAGCAGUGGGGAAUCUUAGACAAUGGAGGCAACCCUGAUCUAGCCAUGCCGCGUGAGUGAUGAAGGCCUUAGGGUUGUAAAGCUCUUUCAGCUGGGAAGAUAAUGACGGUACCAGCAGAAGAAGCCCCGGCUAACUCCGUG